CCUCCUGACAAGAUAUCACUAAUGGAAUUUGAUUUUUAAAAUAUUAAGAAUUACAAAUAUCCUAGCAACCAAAUCUUCCCAUAUUACUGACAAGUAGGACUCAGUAGGUUGUGGUUUGAGCAGUGUGAAUGUGAACAAAAUGAAAUCUCAGUUGAGAAGUCUUUUUCUCCUCUAGUUAAAGAGAACAUUCUAGUAACUUUGGUUUCUCUUUCCAAGUUGUUGACUCUGUUUCAGGUGUACUCUUUGAAACUGAUUUCGAAGGAUCACUUGAAUUUACACUUUAGUUAUGGGUGCUUUGUUAUAGUAUUUUGCAUUAUGAC
This 320-nucleotide long non-coding RNA is filed under the name Bos taurus (domestic cattle). RNAcentral describes it as "long non-coding RNA NONBTAT027027". Lineage: Eukaryota; Metazoa; Chordata; Mammalia; Artiodactyla; Bovidae. The record is from RNAcentral.